Molecule: ribosomal RNA, 552 nt
Filed under: uncultured ciliate
Lineage: Eukaryota; Ciliophora
Description: SSU rRNA
Rfam family: Eukaryotic small subunit ribosomal RNA
Source: RNAcentral
CUGGUUGAUCCUGCCAGUAGUCAUAUGCUUGUCUCAAAGACUAAGCCAUGCAUGUCUAAGUAUAAAUGUUAUACAGUGAAACUGCGAAUGGCUCAUUAAAACAGUUAUAGUUUAUUUGAUAAUCGAAUUUACAUGGAUAACCGUGGUAAUUCUAGAGCUAAUACAUGCUGGUUAGCCUGACUUCGAGGAAGGGCUGUAUUCAUUAGAUAACAAACCAAUAUUCUUCGUGUCUAUUGUGAUGACUCAUAAUAACUGAUCGAAUCGCAUGGUCCUUGACCGCGAUAAAUCAUUCAAGUUUCUGCCCCAUCAGCUUUCGAUGGUAGUGUAUUGGACUACCAUGGCUUUAACGGGUAACGGAGGAUUAGGGUUCGAUUCCGGAGAGGGAGCCUGAGAAACGGCUACCACAUCUAAGGAAGGCAGCAGGCGCGUAAAUUACCCAAUCCUGACUCAGGGAGGUAGUGACAAGAAAUAACGGACCGAGGCUUUGCUUCGGGAUUGCAAUGAGUAGAAUUUAAACCCCUUUACGAGGAUCCAUUGGAGGGCAAGUCUGGU